Non-coding RNA from Vicia faba (fava bean), 216 nucleotides. Lineage: Eukaryota; Viridiplantae; Streptophyta; Magnoliopsida; Fabales; Fabaceae. The record is from the annotation of a GenBank genome assembly.
AUGAAGAAGCAGAAUCGAGGGCGGCCUCCGAAAGUUACGGCACCACCAACACCGGUGAAUCAUCUUGCUCUGGAAUCUCAACCGGAGUCUUUAAGUGUGAAGUAUAACAAAGAAAGCUAUGGAGGUAAUAUUGAGAAUGAUGGAGAUCUGGAAAUCCCAAAGAAAACCCUAGAUGAAGGACUGGAAGAAGAACCUGAGGUCAAACCUAUGGAGUGA